RNAcentral lists this ribosomal RNA (253 nucleotides) under uncultured bacterium. RNAcentral describes it as "partial 16S ribosomal RNA". It matches the Rfam family "Bacterial small subunit ribosomal RNA", at positions 524 to 776 of the family's 1533-position model. The record is from RNAcentral.
UACGUAGGGUGCAAGCGUUGUCUGGAAUUAUUGGGCGUAAAGAGCUCGUAGGCGGUCUGUCACGUCUGCUGUGAAAACUCGGGGCUUAACCCCGGGCCUGCAGUGGGUACGGGCAGACUAGAGUGCGGUAGGGGAGACUGGAAUUCCUGGUGUAGCGGUGAAAUGCGCAGAUAUCAGGAGGAACACCGGUGGCGAAGGCGGGUCUCUGGGCCGUAACUGACGCUGAGGAGCGAAAGCGUGGGGAGCAAACAGG